AGGAGGUUAGUCUAAUCAAGACUUCUAAUUUCGACUUAGACAAUUAUGGUGAAAUUCCAUAACCUCCU
This 68-nucleotide transfer RNA is filed under the name Lycothrissa crocodilus (sabretoothed thryssa). RNAcentral's name for it is "tRNA-Arg". The record is from RNAcentral. Lineage: Eukaryota; Metazoa; Chordata; Actinopteri; Clupeiformes; Engraulidae.